ACUACCACCUUGAUUACAUAACAGCUUUAACACACAUCACAUGGACUUCUGAAGCAGUAUUUGAACUGGAUGGGAUCACAGAGAUGACUUAGCCCCUUAUUUUAAAUGUCAGGAAAUCAUCUGAGAGAGGGAUCAUCAAGACUGUAUGGACAUGCUGGCUGAAUUGACAUGGUGAUUUCACCAGUAUCCUGUAAAGAACCAUCAAGGAUGCUUUUUAUCACUCCAACCACUGGUUUAACAUCACUGAGGGAACAUGACCUGAUGUUAAGGGUGAAGACAAGUUACCAUCCACCCCAGUCGGGAAUAUGUCCCACACUCCCUUUGAAGGCCUGGGCCAAGCGACCAAGCUUUGCACAAGAAACCUGAGAAUUGUCAGAAAACGCAGGCUCUGAAUUGACUCAAGGGUCCUCACGCAUGGAGGGAUCCACUUAUCCAUGGAGAUGGCAACAAGGCAGGACACUUAGCACAUCAGGGUAUUGCUCUUGUCUUUACUUUCCAUUCAGCUUCCCCACAACCACUCCAAAGAACAGAGCUUUGGGUAUUGCUUCAAUAAAAACGUGUAACAGCAGUUUAAGAACCA
Panthera uncia (snow leopard) is the source of this 580-nucleotide long non-coding RNA. RefSeq lists it as uncharacterized. The record is from RefSeq and is a predicted model, not a curated record. The transcript has 2 exons. NCBI's taxonomy places the organism in Eukaryota, Metazoa, Chordata, Mammalia, Carnivora, Felidae.